AAAUGCGAUAAGUAGUGUGAAUUGCAGAAUUCAGUGAAUCAUCGAAUCUUUGAACGCACAUUGCGCCCCUUGGUAUUCCAUGGGGCAUGCCUGUUCGAGCAUCAUUUGUACCCUCAAGCUCUGCUUGGUGUUGGGUGUUUGUCCCGUCUCCGCGCGUGGACUCGCCCCAAAGUGAUUGGCAGCCGGCGUACUGGUCCCGGAGCGCAGCACAUGUCGCGCAAACGAGUGCCUUGGUACGGCGGCGUCCAUAAGCCCCUCUCUCACGCUCUUGACCUCGGAUCAGGUAGGGAUACCCGCUGAACUUAAGC
RNAcentral lists this unclassified non-coding RNA (308 nucleotides) under plant metagenome. Its description in RNAcentral is "partial contains 5.8S ribosomal RNA, internal transcribed spacer 2, and large subunit ribosomal RNA". The stretch from base 1 to 104 matches the Rfam family "5.8S ribosomal RNA", at positions 51 to 154 of the family's 154-position model. The record is from RNAcentral.